This is a long non-coding RNA of Nycticebus coucang (slow loris), 1037 nucleotides long. RefSeq lists it as uncharacterized. The transcript is spliced from 3 exons. NCBI's taxonomy places the organism in Eukaryota, Metazoa, Chordata, Mammalia, Primates, Lorisidae. The record is from RefSeq and is a predicted model, not a curated record.
CGCUGUUUGUGUCCGGCUGGCUCUCUGGCUCCCACCACUCACGGGACGCAUUCUUCCCCAUCAAGGGGGGAUGUGGGGGGUUGGCCGCAGCCCACAGCUCCUGGGGAGCAGGCUCUGGGAGGAGGUUCUCAGCCAGGGCUGCGGGGCGUCUUUGAAGUCCCCCAGGAAUGUCUCUGGCUCUGAAUAGCAUUCUCCUCCUUCCAGGACUCUGCUCACUUGUUUUUUCUAUAGAAACAAAAAUAGUAACCAGGCGUGUCUCCAAGGAUGCCUGAACCAGGAAGCUCAGGAGAUCCAGCUCAGAAUUGUCUGUUUUUCAAUUGCCUUAUACUAAAUGGAGAAGAUGAACCCAUCAUGAUUGAGGUCUGACUUUUGUUGACCUGAGAUUUCCAGGAUUGGCUAAAACCUACUUCAGAACAACAUGGGAAAGAGAAGUUCUCCAAGUUCCGGGAAUGACGGAUUUGGGCCGCCCUGCUGCCCUGCACUUAAGGCCAGAAAAUAAAAAGCAAUCCUGUGUACAACAUCUACAACAAUGAUUUCAACGUCAAACCAAAGAACAAGAUGUGUAUUUGAAACAUGCCGAUAUCCAGAUAUUGAGAAUUUAGGGAGUGAAACACACCCAGGCAAUCAACAUUUCCCUGGAGUUUCUGGUAAGAUACAGGUAUCUGCCCUGUCUACAGACAAAUUGAAGGGGAGAUGCCGAGUCAACUGAGGACCUGAGCAGAACAGAGAGGCCGACUGUGCCCAAAAGAGAAGGGAGCGCCCAGGCCUGAUGGUUUCCAGCUGGAGCAUUAACUUUUUCCUGCUUUCAGACUAGAGGUGAGAUGUCAGCUCUUUCUAGGCCUCAAGCCUGCUGGUCUUUGGACUGGAACUUACGCCAUCAGCUCUCCCGGGCUUCAGAUGGCCUGAUCACCUUUCGGAUGGUGGGAUUUGCCAGCUUCCGCAAUCACUCGAACCUGUUUCUUAUAAGAAAUCUCUCUAUAUACACACAAAGACAUACACACACACACACAAAAAGUAUACACAUCUUAAGAAAGGAA